UACCUGGUUGAUCCUGCCAGUAGCAUAUGCUUGUCUCAAAGAUUAAGCCAUGCAUGUCUAAGUACAAGCCGCUUGACGGCGAAACCGCGAAUGGCUCAAUAAAUCAGUUAUGGUUCCUUAGAUCCACCCAUCCUACUUGGAUAACUGUGGUAAUUCUAGAGCUAAUACAUGCACUCAAGUCCCGACCUCGGUUCGCGCCGCAAGGAAAGGAUGCUUUUAUUAGAUCAAAACCAGUCGGUGCCGGGGCAACUCGGCGCCGUACCGUUUGGUGACUCUGGAUAACUUCACGCCGAUCGCACGGCCUUAGCGCCGGCGACGCGUCUUUCAAAUGUCUGCCUUAUCAACUGUCGAUGGUAGGUUACGCGCCUACCAUGGUUGCAACGGGUAACGGGGAAUCGGGGUUCGAUUCCGGAGAGGGAGCCUGAGAAACGGCUACCACAUCCAAGGAAGGCAGCAGGCGCGCAAAUUACCCACUCCCGGCACGGGGAGGUAGUGACGAAAAAUAACGAUACGGGACUCUUCCGAGGCCCCGUGAUUGGAAUGAGUACACUUUAAAUCCUUUAACGAGGACCCAUUGGAGGGCAAGUCUGGUGCCAGCAGCCGCGGUAACUCCAGCUCCAAUAGCGUAUAUUAAAGUUGUUGCGGUUAAAAAGCUCGUAGUCGGAAGUCUGUCUUCGGCCGGGUCGCGGCUCUCUGAAUUAAGGGAGUUUCCGUUAUGGCUCUGCGUCGGGGGGUGUCAAAGCCCUUCGCGCUUAACGGUCGGACAACACCGCCGGAGCGAUCGGUAAUCGGCCUGGGUCAACGGCGUCUGGGGCUUCGCGGUUCCAGGCGUCGCCGGGAAACGAGACCGAUCCGUAAUCGUCCGGGGUGCCCUUCACCGGGUGUCCCGGGCGGCCGGCAAUGUUUACUUUGAACAAAUUAGAGUGCUCAAAGCAGGUGCAUCCCGCGCCUGAAUAUUUACAGCAUGGAAUGAUGAAAGAGGACCUCGGUCUUAUUUUGCUGGUCUUUAUUCUUUAGACCCGAGGUAAUGGUCAAUAGAGACGGACGGGGGCAUCCGUACUGCGGCGACAGAGGUGAAAUUCUUGGACCGCCGCAAGACGAACAACAGCGAAGGCAUUUGCCAAGAAUGUUUUCCUUGAUCAAGAACGAAAGUUAGAGGUUCGAAGGCGAUCAGAUACCGCCCUAGUUCUAA
Molecule: non-coding RNA, 1192 nt
Organism: Daphnia pulex (common water flea)
Lineage: Eukaryota; Metazoa; Arthropoda; Branchiopoda; Diplostraca; Daphniidae
Source: Rfam